AUAAGGGGUGGAAUAACUCCUUAUCCCCCUUUAUACCCAUAAAUGCUAAUUUUUUACCCGAAAAUAGUAGUUGUUGGGUACCUGAAAUAAGCUGGUAUAACUAUCCCCACCAACACUUUCAUUUUCUAUAUAUAACUACUUACUAUUUUUCUUAUUCUAUAUUAUCUAUCCAAACGUUAUUUUUCUUAUCCUCGGAAAUAACCUAAUUUUCAUCCAAAUGCUAUUUUUUUAAUCCCCAUACUUGUAUCUAUUCCUGUAAUAGCUAGUUCUUCCUUUUACCCAAACCAAACGGUACCUUAAGAAAAGGAAUAUAUAUCAUACAGUUCAUUCAUCUAAAGAAUGUGAUUUUUUUUAUUUGUCACAACAUGUGACAGAUAAAAAAAAUCUUAUCAAUUAAAUAAAUGGCUAUAAAUCAUACACUCUCGAAUGGGGUGUAUGAUUAGCUUUUUCCUUCACAAUAAUAUUAAGGAUUAAUUGCACCAUUAGUCCACAACCUUCUCGAUUUUUCAAUUGAAUCUCGAACUUUCUUUUUCUUAAUCAAUUAAUUAGCGUUCAACCUUCAGAUUUCAUUUCAGUUAUAUUCUUGUCGUCCAUGCUUCCAUUAUCUUUAACGGGGUUGAUAAGCGGUCGUGUUGCAUGUUAUGAUUUAGAUUUAUAAUUAAAUUCUUAGAUUGUGACAUCUCAGUAGUCCUAAAUCGGAUAGAAAUGAGAUUAUAAUUGCGUAUAUAAGAGAUUAUAGAUAUUAGUAAUAAUAAUUGGGUUCAAGUAUUUUGGGUCAGUGGCUUGAAUCCAACGAGUUAUUAUUACUACUGGUCUGUUGUUACAUUUAGUAUCAGAAGUAAUCAUCAUCUGAAAGUAUGAAAUGAGUCGCGGCUUAAUCAAAGUCAGAUGACAGGCUAAAUUAGGAUCAAGAAACGACAGACUAAACCAGAAUUGGAAUGAUAAGUCUAGCAAGACAAAUCUAACAUCGUCUGAUGAUUUCGGGCCGUGAGCUAUUGCUUUGAGUGUGUUGCA
RNAcentral lists this long non-coding RNA (1014 nucleotides) under Ananas comosus (pineapple). RNAcentral's name for it is "long non-coding RNA (ACOM_LNC023949)". Lineage: Eukaryota; Viridiplantae; Streptophyta; Magnoliopsida; Poales; Bromeliaceae. The record is from RNAcentral.